RNAcentral lists this transfer RNA (75 nucleotides) under Cirrhilabrus cyanopleura (blueside wrasse). RNAcentral's name for it is "tRNA-Val". Lineage: Eukaryota; Metazoa; Chordata; Actinopteri; Labriformes; Labridae. The record is from RNAcentral.
AGCAUGGCUUAAUGUUAAAGCAUCGCCCUUACGCUGCCAGGAUACUCGUAUAAAUCUAGUGUCUCUGAUUCCCAG